CUCGGGGUGCUCACUCUCUUUCUCUUCCUCCACAGGCAACGGCUGGGACACAAAGGCACAGUUAAUUCGGCUUGGUUUUGCUCUCACCUCUUCGCUGAUUGCAGCUCACAGUAAGUACUGGUUCACACAGUUCGUUCCUUGGGUGCUCACUCGCUUUCUCUUUCUCCACAGGCAGCGGCGUAAGUACAGGUUUCCUCUGUUUCUCCUUGUGUUACUCACUCUCUCUUUCCUUUUCUCUCCACAGGUAUCAACUUGGGCACAAUAGCACAGUUAGUUUGCUUUGAAUGGCUCUCACCUCUGGGCUGGACACAGCGUACUGUAAGUACAGGGUUCGCUCUAUUCCUCCUCGUGUUAUUCACUCUCUCUUUCCUUUCCUCUCCACAGGUAUCAACUUGGACGCAAAGCACAGUUACUCUGCUUUGGAUGGCUUUCACCUCUGGGCUGGACACAGCGUACUGUGCUAUCUCCGGAGAUCUGAAGCACGCUCACAACAUAUACUAUACUGAACUAGGCUAGGACCAGCAGUCUCC
Long non-coding RNA from Cyprinus carpio carpio, 530 nucleotides. The record is from Ensembl. NCBI's taxonomy places the organism in Eukaryota, Metazoa, Chordata, Actinopteri, Cypriniformes, Cyprinidae.